CUCCAUGAAGGCCCUUGGCCAGAUAUAAUUAAGGAGUUGGCUCUGAAUAGCUCAUAAAUAAUAUUAACAUUUCUAAUUUUUCUCACAAUUACACAUAUCUACUUGUACGCUUUUUAAAUAAUAUGACUCUGAUACCAAUUAUAGGGGGUGUGGAUAACUUGGAAAAUUUAAAUAGAUCUAUUAUAACUAUAAUAGAUCUAUUUUUAUUUGUGCGUGAAUAUUUCUUAACUUCUCUAAACAUUUUUAUUUUUAAUUUAUUUAUUUUAGUUUUAUUGAUGUUCAUAUCCUG
This 289-nucleotide long non-coding RNA is filed under the name Capsicum annuum. Its description in RNAcentral is "long non-coding RNA (CANN_LNC001074)". Lineage: Eukaryota; Viridiplantae; Streptophyta; Magnoliopsida; Solanales; Solanaceae. The record is from RNAcentral.